UAUAUUGUCUGGUUAACCACAAUAAUGGAACUUUUAAUUUUUAGAUCCUGCUCUUCUACACAAGUUUUCUUCAAAAUUAUCACUUAUUGGGGUCAUAGAUUGUGGCUCUUCAACCGAGAUUUACUCUACAGAACAAGCCUUAUGUGGAGGGUAUUAUUCUUUGCUUUUGUAAAAAUGAAGACGGGAGGAUCUCAUGAUCCAGCAGAGGGGACAUUAGGCUGCGGACCAGGUAUGAAAGGUAAAAUCCCCUACUGUCUUAGUUUCAUUUGUUUCUCCUAA
Molecule: long non-coding RNA, 279 nt
Filed under: Pan paniscus (pygmy chimpanzee)
Lineage: Eukaryota; Metazoa; Chordata; Mammalia; Primates; Hominidae
Description: lncRNA (ENSPPAG00000045193.1)
Source: RNAcentral